GCGAGGGUGGCGGAACGGCAGACGCACUAGCUUGAGGGGCUAGCGGUUGAGAAACCGUAGGGGUUCAAAUCCCCUCCCUCGCACCA
Molecule: transfer RNA, 86 nt
Filed under: Candidatus Omnitrophota bacterium
Lineage: Bacteria; Pseudomonadati; Candidatus Omnitrophota
Description: Candidatus Omnitrophica bacterium tRNA-Leu
Rfam family: tRNA
About the family: Transfer RNA (tRNA) molecules are approximately 80 nucleotides in length. Their secondary structure includes four short double-helical elements and three loops (D, anti-codon, and T loops). Further hydrogen bonds mediate the characteristic L-shaped molecular structure. tRNAs have two regions of fundamental functional importance: the anti-codon, which is responsible for specific mRNA codon recognition, and the 3' end, to which the tRNAs corresponding amino acid is attached (by aminoacyl-tRNA synthetases). tRNAs cope with the degeneracy of the genetic code in two manners: having more than one tRNA (with a specific anti-codon) for a particular amino acid; and 'wobble' base-pairing, i.e. permitting non-standard base-pairing at the 3rd anti-codon position.
Source: RNAcentral